RNAcentral lists this ribosomal RNA (253 nucleotides) under uncultured bacterium. RNAcentral's name for it is "partial 16S ribosomal RNA". It matches the Rfam family "Bacterial small subunit ribosomal RNA", at positions 524 to 776 of the family's 1533-position model. The record is from RNAcentral.
UACGAAGGGGGCUAGCGUUGCUCGGAAUGACUGGGCGUAAAGGGCGCGUAGGCGGAUGGCACAGUCAGAUGUGAAAUUCCCGGGCUUAACCUGGGGGCUGCAUUUGAUACGUGUUGUCUCGAGUGAGGAAGAGGGUCGUGGAAUUCCCAGUGUAGAGGUGAAAUUCGUAGAUAUUGGGAAGAACACCGGUGGCGAAGGCGGCCAUCUGGCCCACAUUUGACGCUGAGGCGCGAAAGCGUGGGGAGCAAACAGG